Molecule: ribosomal RNA, 1648 nt
Filed under: Triticum aestivum (bread wheat)
Lineage: Eukaryota; Viridiplantae; Streptophyta; Magnoliopsida; Poales; Poaceae
Description: partial small subunit ribosomal RNA
Source: RNAcentral
AUGAAAUGAGGGGAGUUCUGCCUUUGGGACUCGUCCUUCCUUCGUUCAGAAGAAAGAAAAGGGGAGAUGAACCUCGAGCCCCACGCACCCCACGCACCUUUCUUUCCCGAGCACGCAACCUCUCCUUCCCUCUCCAGAAAAACACCAUCCUUCGACCUGGAUCGGCUCAUGUGACCGUCGGGCCUUGUCGCCACCGACGCCGACGCCUGCAAACGGCGGCAGGCUGGAUCUUGAUGGCGUGCUCGUAGCGCUGCCCACCAUCUGCGUGAUCUGGGCCGACGGGUUCAUCUCCUCCCACCUCUGUGAGAAUCUCAUGGCCGAGACCCCGCACUCCGUCCUCAUCGUCGACCACCUCGUCGACCCACCCCCGCCCCACGUCGCCGGCUGCAUCUCCUUCCGCUGCCUCAACGUCAUGAACAACUCCCGCCUGGAGGGCCUCAUCAAGACGUCCGAUCUGGUGCGCCCCUCCCCACCUCCCCUCCCUUCCCCGCUCACUCAUGUCCUUUAAGCGGAUUGGUCUGCAAAAUUUUGUUAUUGUCUCCUUUAGUGUUCUUGAGCUUGCUUCAUUUAAUUGGGUUGGGUGAAGACGUUGGUAGUACAAGGAAAGAAGUACAGCAUCAGGCUGCAGAAAUAUCUUUAAGAAAUUUGGCAAGUAAGUUUGUUUUAUUGCAUAUUUGUACUAACCUCUCCAGUUUCGUUUUCGCAGAUAUAAGAUAAUAUGUUAUGUAAUCAAGAGAUUCAUUUUAAAUUUGGAUUGUUCACAUGUUUACUCGAAGCAUAUAUGCUCUAUUGUGUGGAGUUGAUUUUUCCCUUUUUAGCACCAUCUAUCUUGGAAUUAGAUUGGAUACUGUGAGAAUAUAAUCAUGACUAUUUCUUGAUGGGUACUUGCUGCAUGAUUUUUCCACUGCAUGUCCAAGUUUACAUGUGAAAGGAUCUUGCUUGAUUCCAUUCUACUGGUUCAUCUGAAUUACCGAAUACAGAUGCAGGUCUCCUGUAUCUUCACUAAUUUCCUCUGUAGGUUCCUGUUUAGGGAGAAAAGAAAAUCCUGUUAUCCUCGUCCAGGGAUAGACCAUUUGGCACCAAUGAAUCAGCUGUUGAGUACAAAUAAUGUGGGAAGUUCUUCUUUGGCAAUCACGAUGUGUUCGUACAUAUGGUUGAAAGGAUCGCGUUGAUAGUGUUGCUACUUGCUACCAAUGCUUUUGUUGAGGAGGCUGCAGACCUGUUGUGUUUGCUGCUGGGUCCUGGUUGCCCUGGAGUGUUAAAUUCAGAACGUAAGUGAAUGAUCACUGUACCCCAGCCACCCGGCUUGGCACAAGAUAGGAAAAGUGGUUUGGUGUACAAGGAGACUACAACUUUUUUGUUAAGGACUGCUGGGGCCAAGUCUGGUGGAUCUGUUUAAUUUUUGUAGCAGAGCAGUUCCGCUCUCUGUUUAUUGCCCAAAUGCGGUACAUAGGGCAGGAGGGGCAGGGCGGAGGUUCGACCUCCUGCACCUUCCAUCCCAGGCCUAUCUUUGUCAUUCUCGGCGGCCGGCCGAGCUCUGCGCUCCGGAACAACCAAAACAUGCUUGAGAUCUCAGUAAAAAAAAAGGAUUUUGUUUUACUGUGUUUGCUCUAAAAAAUUGUUCUGGCCAUUUCACUGGGGAUGCAGU